UCUAAGGACGAAGCCGCAUCCGAAACGAGACAUUUAGGGUGGGGAUAUUACAUCCCUUUGAUAGGGCGGGCGUGUAAGCAGCGAGCUUCGGCGAGCUGUGAGCGCACCGCAACUAAAUCCUUACAAACUUUUAG
Molecule: ribosomal RNA, 134 nt
Filed under: Microcaldota archaeon
Lineage: Archaea; Nanobdellati; Microcaldota
Description: partial 23S ribosomal RNA
Rfam family: Archaeal large subunit ribosomal RNA
Source: RNAcentral